AAGACUAUAAUACUUUCAGGGGUCAUUUCUAUAGUUCAUUACUAGAGAAGAUUCUCUGAACGUGAAGAAUACCAGAAAUCAUGAGAAGGAGAUGCAGUGUCCUUUCCUGAGCAUGAAGCUGGCUUUGAGUGCUGCUUUUACAGCUGCUCUUUGCCCUUGAUGAUUGUUCUUUUCCCACUUUGGGUGAAUAAAAGAGAAAGGACACCAUCUGAGUGGU
The sequence is a small nucleolar RNA, 217 nucleotides long. Its record names the gene U3. It matches the Rfam family "Small nucleolar RNA U3". Rfam says of the family: Small nucleolar RNAs (snoRNAs) are involved in the processing and modification of rRNA in the nucleolus. The record is from Ensembl.